This 519-nucleotide long non-coding RNA is filed under the name Salmo salar (Atlantic salmon). RNAcentral's name for it is "lncRNA (ENSSSAG00000111018.1)". Lineage: Eukaryota; Metazoa; Chordata; Actinopteri; Salmoniformes; Salmonidae. The record is from RNAcentral.
UCUAGGUCUUAUGGGGAGGAUGUGUUUUGUAGGGUUUUAUUCAAGUCAAGUUCCAACUACUCUUAGUGAGAAAUUGAAAGAAAAGUUGUUAUCAUCUGGAAUGGAAUUCUUUCAUGUUCUGAGGUUUUAUCCGGUGAUCAGCUUAGACGGGAGAAUCUCAUACACCUUCACCAGCGAGGGAAUGAACACUGUUACGGUCCAAGUGUCUUCAGCCAACACCAUACUGCAAGACACCAAGACGAUAGCAGUCCCAGAUGCUUCAGCGUUCGCCCUCGGGCUGUCCUGUGAUCGGCUCGUGCUGUCCUGUGUCGGGCUGUCCUCGUUAUCACACAGGUGCGAGCGACUCGGGUUAUUCUUCCCCACGCGAGGCAGCUUGAUGAGCUCGAAUGUCACGUCCUGACCCUUGUAAGAUGUCAUUUUCUAUAGUAGAAUAGGUCAGGGCAUGACAGGGGGUGUUUUUGGGUGGUUUUCUAUGUUUUCUAUUUCUAUGUUUAAUUCUGGGUUUCUAUUUCUACGUUG